AUAGGUCAUACUUGGAUUGUGUUAUCUCUAUAGACUCUUUAAGAUCCUGUAAAGACUCUUAAAAUAAUUUCUUGAGUUAUUGAGCUAGAAUUUCUUAACUUCUCUACAUCUUAUUUAUAUUUGUUUCUAUUUUAGGUGUCAGUACUUAUAUAAAUCCUUUCUACCUCUGACAGGAAAUUUUCUACUUAAUCCAUUUUGUUAAUUCAUAAUGCUUUAAUGAAAUGGCUGUAGUUUUGAUGUUUUUGAGUGAUCAUACUCCAUUUUUGUAUACUUGCUUUUGACAAGAAACAUUGGGGUAUGUGGCCUGUAGCUUCUUCCAUUCUUUGAUCUAGUCAAUU
RNAcentral lists this long non-coding RNA (338 nucleotides) under Homo sapiens (human). Its description in RNAcentral is "non-protein coding lnc-EXOSC8-5:1". The record is from RNAcentral. Lineage: Eukaryota; Metazoa; Chordata; Mammalia; Primates; Hominidae.